ACAGAGAAGCAGAACAUCCUUCUUCAGCACAUGCAUGAAAAGAAAUUAUUUACAGUACCUCAUUUUGAUCAAUAAAUGUGGUCAUGACCUGGAGCCUCGUUUUCGUGUUAAAGCUUAUUUCCACAUUUAUUGGUCAAAAUAAAGAAUUUUUUUCAUGCAUGUGUUGAAGAAGGAUGUUCUGCUUCUCUGU
Molecule: non-coding RNA, 190 nt
Organism: Paramuricea clavata
Lineage: Eukaryota; Metazoa; Cnidaria; Anthozoa; Malacalcyonacea; Plexauridae
Source: the annotation of a GenBank genome assembly